GGCCAUUGGAACUAUUAACUCGAACAUCCACAGUUCUUUAUAUAAUUUUAUUAUUUUUGAGUUUCGGAUCUCCAAAUUUCUUGAGUGGCCUUUGGAUUUUGCUAUCGUUUUCCAAGCACAAGAAUAUAUGGGAAAUUCUGGCUCUCGUCGUGGGCUCGAUAUAAGUUCAUGUAUCAGAUUAGGCGGAGGCAGAAACAAAAGAAUAUUAUAGGUAGACAGAAGGGAUAGCACCAGUACUCUUCUGUCGAAUCCAGUUCCGGUUGGAACGCCGCUUGCAGCCGUUGCGCCACCGCCGGUCAGGGCUGAAACUGAACCUUCUACUGGAAUCAAGAGGGUUAAAGUGGUCAUUACAAAGCGGCAGCUUCAGGCGUUAUUAUCAAAGAGAAUAUAUGUUGAAAAAGUCCGAGGAAUAAAAUCAAUAAAUAGAUCAUGUAAUUCAGUUGAUUCUCAGACAAGUUGGAAGCCUGUUCUUAAAUCCAUUCCUGAAGAAAAUGAGUUGUGAUAGGUGAAGUAGAAUUGCAGUGACAUUAAACUGAUUCUGAAUUUCGAAUGCUUUUUUUUUUUCUGCUAAUUAAAUUAGAAUCAGUUUGGUGUCAUUAUAUAACGAUAUAGAUAAUAUGUUGG
This 624-nucleotide long non-coding RNA is filed under the name Olea europaea subsp. europaea. Lineage: Eukaryota; Viridiplantae; Streptophyta; Magnoliopsida; Lamiales; Oleaceae. The record is from RNAcentral.